Molecule: long non-coding RNA, 1223 nt
Organism: Symphalangus syndactylus (siamang)
Lineage: Eukaryota; Metazoa; Chordata; Mammalia; Primates; Hylobatidae
Source: RefSeq, a predicted model, not a curated record
UCCGGCGCCCGCAAGCCACUUCCGCCUAUGUGUCCCUGCGCGCGUGCGCAGACGCGUGGCCCCGCCUCCCGACAGGCCUGUGGCCGCCGCCGGUGUGCGGGUCGUUACCUCCCGCGCAUGCUCUAUCGGGUAGAGACGCUAGGCCGGCACUGCCAAGGUGGGCCCGGCGGUGCGAGGGUCGCCUUUCAGCCCUUACCUCUACCCACUGAAAUGGAGUAGGGCGGUGAGCGCCGAUGUGCUGGAGAAUCUCAUUAUCCCAUCGGCGCUCUGCCUGCUUCUGGCCUCCAAGCCUCUGAAGCCCCCCGGGUUUCAGCUGCCGGCUGCCCCCGAGCCCGUGGAGCCCACGAGAGAGGCAACUUUACGUCAGCGGCCCUGGGCUGAGAUUUGAGAACGGGACCAAGUGGAGAAUGUUGGAGCCAGAUUUUAAAAUCCUUGUCUUCCUUCUUCUUGCUACUUGAUCUAAAUGAGAUACGGCAAAGUCACAGUACCUGUUUUUAUGUUUUUGCCUGAUUCAUACGGGCUUCUCCGGUGAAGAUGGGCUGAAGUAACGCUUGGGUUGCUUUUGACGUUAUAACUCAUCCUGUAGCUGCAGCAACCGUGGUCCUUGCAACCUCAUAAAAAUGUUGCCAGCAUUGUUUUGAUAGUGCCGCUUAAUUCUUGGAAGGCCUCUUUGCUGUCUUCCCUGAGGUUCUUCGGACUUCACACAUUCCAGCAGUAGCUCUCUCAGCUCCUGUCCUGCACAGCUUUCAAGUGCUGACAGUCUCCCUCUGUUGCCCAGGCUGGAAUGGAGUGGCAUGCUCUUGGCUCACUGCGACCUCUGCCUCUCGGAUUCAAGUGAUUCUCCUUCCUCAGCCUCCCGAGUAGCUGCGAUUACAGGCACCCGCUGCCAUGCUCAGUAAAGAAUGACCAGGCAACACUCUUUGAAAAUUGGAGACCAUUUGCAGCUGCUCUCUGUUGAGGAAAGUGAAUAAUAGGGUGCCCUCAAGGAAUUGCAAAGGUAUCACUCAACAGAAACUUUUGUGUCUGAAGAAAACUAGAUCAUUUUAUCAUGGUAGGCAUGCUGAUAUGUUUGCUUUAAUAAAAUGCCAUAUUUCUGCCUUUAAUCUCUUGUCAACCCGCUAUUAAAAAGCCCCAAAGUGCAUGCGUGCAGCACAUGUAAACACUUGUGGUUUUGAGGUUACCACAGAACAUACUAAUAAAGCACGUAAUUUGUGUUUUGUGCA